GCAGGCUCCCUGCUUCUCGCAGCGAACUGCAUUGGUCCGUCCCUUUCAUUUGAUCGCUCGCCUCGAUUCCCCUAGGGUCGGUCGCGAGUGAUGGGUGGGUUCCUGUGCUUGAUACCGGAUUUCGGUACUCGGAUUCAAUGUUGUCCACGUCUUGGUUUCCCUUGUUCCUCCUCCGCCUCCUGUGCGUUGGUGGUUGUCGCGCGGGCAUCGAUGCUUUCCGUCCGGGCGGUCGUCCACCUCUGGGCGCUUCCGCUCGAGUCGGCGCGUCGAUGCCGUCCGCGUGCUCUUGGGUACGGAGAUAUCUCUUGUUAUCGCGCGGCCCUCUUUCGGCCGUUGCGAUCUCGACGUGUCGAAGCUUCUUUGCUUCCGCUCGGGUGACCCUCGUGCUUUCCUUGGCCCUCACGGAGACUCUCCUCUCCGCGUUCGUCCUCGGGAGGCAUCGAGGUGUACAAUGGAAUGCUACCUGGUUGAUCCUGCCAGUA
RNAcentral lists this unclassified non-coding RNA (482 nucleotides) under Chaetogastra hassleri. Its description in RNAcentral is "partial may contain 26S ribosomal RNA, external transcribed spacer, 18S ribosomal RNA". Lineage: Eukaryota; Viridiplantae; Streptophyta; Magnoliopsida; Myrtales; Melastomataceae. The record is from RNAcentral.